Molecule: long non-coding RNA, 3513 nt
Organism: Peromyscus californicus insignis
Lineage: Eukaryota; Metazoa; Chordata; Mammalia; Rodentia; Cricetidae
Exons: 2
Source: RefSeq, a predicted model, not a curated record
CACCCGGUGGAAUUUUCCAGGCGCUCUUUCUGCCGGCCCUUCUUUCGGGCCUCUGCGGGGCGUGGUGACCCGAGGUGACCUGUCCUUUUCCUUCUGCCCUGCCAGUCAGUGUGGCCCCCGCCACCCCCCACCCGACCCUCUGGAAGCAGUCAGAUGUGCCCUCCAUCCCGGGACGCCCUGCUGAGUGAGGGGCAAAAAAGGACCACGGAGCAAUCAGAGGGAGGGGCCGUCGACGGAAGCCGUCAACGCCCCUCGUGGGCCCCUUUGGCUAGGUCGGGGAGGAACUUUUUUUUUUGAAGUGCCCGUGGAGGAAUCGUCCCGUUGAGCAAUGCCUGGGUGACGCGACGCAGGGCUAUAAAAGCAAAAGUUGUGUCCCCCCCACCACCAGCAGGAGUUAGUGGCAAGGAGGGCUGCCGUCUGGUCUUAGUGGUGGGGAGGAAGUGGCUAGUUCAGGGCUCAGAGGACAGAGCUGGCAGAGGCAGCCGCUAGCAUGGGGGAGGGAGAAGGGCGGUUAACUAAAAAUGAGGCUAGGUUUGGGGACAGUGGUCGUGUGGACGGCAGCUUCCAAAGCGCCUUCAACAGUCCACCCAGGGGCAGCAGCCUUCAAGGCCAGGCUGGCCCUGCGGUCUGUAGGAGUGGGGGCACUUGACCUCCAGGAGGGCACAGGUCUCACGGGCCCACAUGGGCCCAGUGUUCCAGCUUGAGUGGCAGAGCAGGUGGUGAAUCGGGUAGACCCGGGCCCUUGAGGCCCUGGAUGUCAUGAAGAAGGACAGGCAGUGGGCCCAGGGCUAGGUGGGCAGUGGGGAUCAACUUUGAACUUGACAAUACCAGCAGACCCUUUUUUUCCAGAUAGGGGUUGUGAACCCGCCUGGGGAUGAGGCCUGGUCUUAUGGAAAGGACUAAGUUUCACGGGGCUGACACCUCUGGCCCCGGGUGGUACGUAAUUUGGGCUUGGCCUGAUAGCACCCAGUCUUGGGUGUGAGGGGUGGCCGAGGAGUGGUUGUAGAGGCAAGGAGUUGUCUUCACCUGACAGGUCUGCUUGGCGGGGACCACCGAGAUUGAAGGCGCGCGUCUUGGGGCCACAUUGAUCACAGCUUUAUUUUUCAGUGUUCAUCAUGGCAAGCAGAUGGCACCAGGAGAAAUGGACCCCCUGCCAGUGAGUCCUAACAGUGCAAGAGGGUAGACCCUGGAGGAAACAGCGACCUAAGUUGAUGCCUACACAGUGAAUUCCAGAGGCUUAGAAAGUUCUGCACUGCCAUGUGUCCAGGCCUUACUCGGGAAGCCCUGUGUUCAGAAAGCCAUCGUUUUAAGUGGUCCAGACCAGCUUCUGGGGGUGGGGACGGGCUGACGCUUCCUGCCGGAGUGGCUGUCGGCUGUGAAUGUUCCGGAUGAAUGUCUUGUUCUGGGAGCACCAUUCUCCGGAUGCAUGAAUGCCAGCCAGCAGCCCCCUUCCUGGAGGUAGAGGCAUUCAGCUGCUGCAUCUUCUAAAUCAAGCCUCCAGUCUUUAGGUCUGUGCUGUGAACUUGGCCUCGAGAAGAUUGCUUAAGGUGUAGAACACUCAACACAGCAUGAUGCCUUGUAGAUGGUGUUUGCAGAGGAGCCCAGUGACCUCGACACCUUCCCUGCUUCUGCAGCCUGCCUGCCUCUGCACUGGUCAGAGGCAUUCCUAAGUGUGAUAAAACUUUUGGGUGUUGGGGAACGCUGUUCAAUGUAAAAUGACUGAAGUGGAAGAGUAUUAGUUAGAUGGAGCCAAUCGCUACACGGGUGGGGUGUUGCGUUUUUAAAAGUACGGGAGGGUACAAGCUGGCUGCAAGGUUUUUGGGGAUUUUGUAGAUGGCAUAUCUAAUUUGGGCAUUGGGAUAGCAUCUGGUACCUAGAAGGGAAUGGUGGGCCUGCAGUGGUCCCUGGGAAUCUUGUUCUGUGGCUUUGGUUUUGGUACUGGGUGGUAGGCAGGUGUUACCCCACUGAGGGAUUCCGACUUGGGGCCUGGCUGUGUAUACUAGGCUGGCCUCUGCUCUCAACCCUGCUGGGAUCACAGGUGUCAUCUAAAACUUCACUGUCCAGCUUAACCUGGAGUUUUGCUGGGUCAGGCUUCAGAAUACUUUUGCACCGGAGGUGGGAUUGCCGGAGAGAGCAGGGCUCAGCUUGGCAUUGGUGUCUUGGCCAGAGGUUUGAUGAGGGAUUGGGGGGGGGGGGGGGCAGCAAGGGAUGUGGAUUGAUGGGAAUAACAAUUUGGGAACUAAAUACCUCAUAAAGAAAAUGUCAAAGUUGAUGGUAAAUCCUCAUGUGGGUGAAUGAAUACUUGAGGUGCUGUAACAGUUGCUUGGAACAUACCAAUCCUAAGACAGGGGGAAAAGCAAAAUUGUUUUGCUUUGCUGUUAAAUGAGCAAUACUGAAGUUGUAUCUGAACUGUUUUAGUUGCUUGAAAGAUGAUGUCAAACUCAAAUCAAGAAUGCCCAAGCACAUGCCAGCCUAUGGGGAUGGGGUAGAGAGGAGUGCUGGGGAAGGGCUUGUAAAUGCCUACAUGUGGGCUCUUAGAGCAUUGGCCUCCGCUGUUGAGGUUGACAGACUGCUGGGUUUAUAAUUCAAAUCCUAUCAGAUACUGUGUGGUUGAAAAUUCUAAUGCUGUUAUAUCUAAAGGAAUUGAAUUUGCAAGUCGUGCCUUAUACAACACCUACAGGAAUUUAAUAUGCGAGUCAUGCCUUAUACAACACCUACAGGAAUUUAAUAUGCAAGUCAUGCCUUAUACAACACCUACAGGAAUUUAAUAUGCAAGUCAUGCCUUAUACAACACCUACGGGAAUUUAAUAUGCGAGUCAUGCCUUAUACAACACCUACAGGAAUUUAAUAUGCGAGUCAUGCCUUAUGAAACACAUACUGACUUUCUGGGAUUGACCAGGAGACAACAGGGGUUGCUUACUUGACUAACAGAUGAGUCAUUGUGACAGGGAACAAGGCCUUGCACUUGCUAUGACAUUACUGUAACGUUUGGUAGAAAACCUGAUCCUUGUUUGUACCCUUGCUAAGGCUGCUAUGAAUACAUUGUGUUUUUAGCUUGAAUGGUGCUUUCAAACCAUCCCGGAGCAGAGAGGAAGCUGUAAUUGUCAAAUGAGUUUGGGAAAUAAAGUCAAACGGGGCUGCCGGGGACAUCUUACUAAGAUAAUGCUCUGUAAAAAUUAACUCUGGAAACCCUGGGUGUCUGAGUGCUAAAGUUGCAGUCAAUGGCUUUUCGUGUUGUCUUUCCCUUAAAAUCAGGUCCCCAGUACUGUUACCUCGGGGAUUUUGUCUGUUUUAUGUUGUGUUGAUGUGUGUGGUUUAAAAUGUGCUGUGACCAGGAAUGAUCACUGUCAUUGGAACAGCAGAGUGUUGGUCACGUUGGAAUGGGGAAUUGUGGAGAGAGCUGUAACAGCGGGUCACAGCACCCCCUUGUUGGUACUAAAGUGUUCUGAAGUGUGCACAGCCACUAACCAUUUUCUCCUUUACAGCAAAAUAAAGGUUUGAGAUCGAAACUCC